This 253-nucleotide ribosomal RNA is filed under the name uncultured bacterium. Its description in RNAcentral is "partial 16S ribosomal RNA". It matches the Rfam family "Bacterial small subunit ribosomal RNA", at positions 524 to 776 of the family's 1533-position model. The record is from RNAcentral.
UACAGAGGUGGCAAGCGUUGUUCGGAAUUACUGGGCGUAAAGGGCGCGUAGGCGGCCUACUAAGUCAGACGUGAAAUCCACCGGCUUAACCUGGGAACUGCGUCUGAUACUGGAAGGCUUGAGGAUGGGAGAGGGAUGUAGAAUUCCAGGUGUAGCGGUGAAAUGCGUAGAUAUCUGGAGGAAUACCGGUGGCGAAGGCGGCAUCCUGGACCAUUACUGACGCUGAGGCGCGAAAGCUAGGGGAGCAAACGGG